RNAcentral lists this unclassified non-coding RNA (4231 nucleotides) under Dendronephthya gigantea. Its description in RNAcentral is "uncharacterized LOC114521727, transcript variant X6". The record is from RNAcentral. Lineage: Eukaryota; Metazoa; Cnidaria; Anthozoa; Malacalcyonacea; Nephtheidae.
UUAAACUUUCAAGGAGAGUUAUUUCACCUAAAGAAGAGUUUAAGAAACGAAGAGCAAUUAUACUGAAACGCCUUUUUUUUUAUUCUUGAUUCUAAAAUGACAAUUCUUCUAGUUUAUUAAAUUCUUCAAUUCUUGUUGAUUUACAAUCGGAAAUUUUCUACUAUAUGAAGAUGAGCCAAAACAAAGACACCCGGACGUGUCUAAGCUUGUUGAGGCGGAACUUCAGUCGCGUCAGCGAGUAUUGUGAACAAUACCAGGAAAUACUCGAUUUAUAGCUGAAUUGUAGUGAUAAAACACAACAUUCAACUGAAGAACGUCCUGAAGCUAAGAGAGUGAUUCCUUUCAAGGAUUAUGGCAUCCAGAGAAGUGCCAAACGAACUGAUACCGCAAUUGCUGUCAGUCGGUGAUUUUAUUGGAGCAAAUUUUGAUGCGACAGCUAAUAAAACAGAAAUUACUGAAGCCGGAAGAUUAGCUCGUUCGAUUGGCGACCGGUUAUCUAGCCAACCAACAGUCGAGUACCAUCAAGAAGACAGAGCAGAGAGAUCUGGCAUCGUAACAAGAUGGCUCAGUCAAUUCAAGAAUGUCGUCGGGACGACUUUAGACUGGCUGGAACAUUCUGGACAAAUGAAUGCUAAAAAACAAGAACAAGUCCUAAGGGGAUUAUAUAAUUUAACAGUGCUGGCCAACCAAGGGCAUCUCUUUGCUAUCAUGGAAGUGGCCCAUUCCUGUUUGACCACAGAUGAAGAUCCCUUUCCAGGCCAACGUCAUUACAUUGUCCAGUGCCUCGAAGAUGUCAAAGCUCAUCAGGAACAAAUCGGAGUGUUAGUAGAGCAGGCCAGCGAUAUCCUCAAGGAAAUCCUGGAACACGAAGGAGUGGAUUAUUCAAAGGGAAGGAAGUUUGACAACGUUGUUAGAGAAGCACGGGUGCAGAUCGAAUCCUGUAAACGUCGUCUGAAGGGCGCAGAAGAGGCUAUUUUCGCACUCUCUCAAAAAAUGAGUACCGUGAGAUGGGCCUCCCGUAGUUUACACGCAACAGGUUGGAUGUUUUCGGCGUAUAUAUUCUACAAGCGGUAUCAGGAAUCUGGUCAGUCGUCACUAGAUUUGCUCAAACUUUUCGGUUUUGUUGCCGUUUCUGGCUGGAUUUGUAUGUCACUCUUGCCAGGCAGAUCAAGUGUUUACUACGAGUCAUUGACAAAGUUGGAAGCAGAUCAUCGCAUGUUGAAGGAGAAAUUGGAAGAUUUACGUGUUAGCCUAACGAGCGCCAAAGAUCACAGAGAUGGACUCUGAUCGCAUUAUAUAUAUAUGGAGCAGUGAACUGUAAUAAAACUUGAAGCGCUAACUCCUAUAGUUCAUUGAACGGCAAAAAAUUGAAUAAUAAUAGUUCAUUGAAGCCAAAGAUUGAAGAAAAAACCGAGUUUUUGACUCUCUUUCUCGUUCAAAUUCUAUAAAAAUUAGCAAAUGAUUGUAUUUUAGACAUUUCUAGAUAAUUACUCUCCACACGUCUGUCUCAAACGUUCAAAAACGCAGAAAAACUACCUUCAAAUUUGGUUUGAAAGAUAGCGGCCAAGUUAGCGUUCCAGAUUUUAUUACAGUUCAGUGGUAUGGAGUCGUACCUAAAGAACUUUCUGUGCAUGUGUGUCUUGCUGAUUAUUAUUAUUACCAGCGAUGGAAUACCAUGCAGAUUAAAGGUGGGAUAUGAAUUGGUUUGAUAUAUUUUUCAGGCUUCACGCUUGUCAAAUUUUAAAUAGAAGCCAAUAAUUGUUGGGGUGAAAUUGCUAGGAGUAGGAGCCAAUGCGUUAUUCGUUGGACUGAUGAACUUUGAGCGAAUUUAAAAUCUUGACGAGAGUUGGGUUCUUUGAAACAGCGGCCAUGUUGGCGUGAUGAUGUUAUAUUAUGUCAAUAUGAGACGAAGCCCCAAACUCUCACGUUUGCUUCAUGAAAUAAUGUUAAUAAUGUUGAAUAAUCUUAUUAAUUUAAUGUAUUAUAAUAAGUUGAUGGUAUAUAUACUGUAAAAAGCACUUUUGGGCACAAUUUUGCGGUGAUUUCUGUGUAAUCUAGGCCUGCACACUUUACAUUCCAAAAGCUUAGAAAUUACCCCUGCAUGCCAGAGCAUUAUAUCAUGCUAGCAUUAGUCAAAGAAGUCAAAGGACUGCGCACAACCUGUUAAUGCAUAAGCAGCCCAGACUUUGGCUUGCGCGUGUGAUACUCGCGCGCGUGUCGCGCUUACGUUGUUUACUACGUCAAAAUAAGCGCGACACGCGUGGAGGACCAAAACCGCCAUGUUUCACACCAAUCAUGCAUGCUUAGCGCUAGCCCAUUUGGAUAUACAGAAAAGUACUAGAGAUAAGACUAGAACCUUACACAUGCAGGCAAGGUUUACACAGUCAAUCACGAAGCUUUUUUAUGAUACAUUGACAUUAUUAUGAUAUCCUAGCUGACAAAGUUUUGACAACAUCAAGAAGUCAAAAAUGACAAUCAGUAGCCUUCGAUCGAGAUUUCAUUUGCUUAUUGGCGUAACAGGCUUGUUGAUAUUCUGUUUGGGGGUUCUCAUAUUAGCAUCAGGAAUACGAAUAAGAUAUCUUCUAACAACAUUUGACAGAUUCGGGGAUUAUUGGAAGGCGUAUAACACUUGCCAAUAUUGGGCGGGAAUACCGACAAUUCUAACUGGAGGAGCAUUGGUUCUUUCUGUUCUCGUGAAUAGACAUCAGUCCUUGAAAUACAUCAGCUUAUGUUGUGCUGCGAUUACGAUGGUUCUAACACUAGGGAUCAUCAUCGAGGAAUCAGGACAUGUUUGGGACGUACAUUACCUUGUCCAAUACGAGAACAUCGCUGGAUAAUUACGAAGUGACACGACAUCAUGUUUCUGGAUAUCAAAGUCACGGGCUGAGUCAACUGUCGUCAAAUGAUCAAUAUCAUGCAAUAUCAAUGAAUACUUUUUAGUUUUUAAUGGAAGCUUUGAUGGGUCCAAACCACCAGCUUUAUCCAGUUGUAUGUAUAUAUAUAUAUAUAGAUAGAUAGAUAGAUAGAUAUAUGAGAAAAGCUUUUAUAUAUCUCAGUAAAUAUCUAUAUAUCAUAAUAGUUCGUUGAAGCUAAAGAUUGAAGCAAAAACUGAGUUUUUGACUCUCUUUCUCGUUUUAUAAAAAUUAGCAAAUUAAAUUUUAUAAAAAUUAGCAAAUGAUUGUAUUUUACAUAGUUAUAGACCUUUCUAGAUAAUUACUCUCUAUGCGUCUGUCUCAAACGUUCAAAAACUCAGAAAAACUACCUUCAAAUUUGGCUUGAAAGAUAGCGGCCAAGUUAGCGUUCCAGGUUUUAUUACAGUUCAGUGGCCGGAGUCGUAAGAACUUUCUGUGCAUGUGUAUCUUAGGGCCAGCUGAUUACUAUUAUUACCAGCGAUGAAAAACCAUGCAGAUUAAAGGUGGGAUAUGAAUUUGUUUGAUACAUUUUUUAGGCUUCACGCUUGUCAAAUUUUAAAUAGAAGCUAAUAAUUGUUGAGGGGGAACAGCUAGAAGCCAAUUAUGCGUUAUUCGUUGGACUGAUGAACUUUGAUCGAAUUUAAAAUCUUGACGAGAGUCUUGGGUUCUUUAAGGCGGCCAUGUUGGCGUGAUGAUGUUAUAUUAUGUCAAUAUGAGACGAAGCCCCAAACUCUCACGUUUGCUUCAAGAAAUAAUGUUAACAAUGUUGAUUAAUCUGAUUAAUUUAACGCAUUAUAAUAAGUUGAUGGUAUAUAUACUGUAAAAAGCACUUUUAAAAAAAGGCACAAUUUUGCGGUGAUUUCUGUGUAAUCUAGGCCUGCGCGCUUUACAUUCCAAAGCCUUAGAAAUUACCCCUGCAUGCCUGAGCAUUAUAUCAUGCUAGCACUAGCAUCGGUCAUGGAUAUUAUUAGUUAGUCAUUCAUGCAGGGACUGCGCAUAACCUGUUAAAGCAUAGGCAGCCAAAGUGAACUCAAAUAAGACUGGAACGCUCACUCUGUCGGAAGUUUGAAGCUAAGAUGGCGGACACUGAUGCCUUUCUUGUAAUUUUUCCUUUGAAAUUUCCGCGCCAGACGCCUGGAUCAUACCAACAAGAAAGGCUUCAUGAUCCGCCAUCUUGGCUUCACUCAUUAAUGAGGGAAAGUCAGAGAGUAAGCGUUCCAGUCAUAAUACAAGUUAUUUCAUCCUAAUAUUCAUUAUAUUCGUCCUAAUAUAUACAGGAAAGGUUGUUUUAGGAAAUUACCACUUAUUUUUUUCUUUAA